UUCCAUGUUCCCUUAAUGCUUGAAAUAUUAAGUUGGUGAAAAAGUAACUGCAGCUUUUGCAAUUUUAUAGCAAAUACUUCUGCACCAACCUGUAACACUUUUCUAAGGCCACUGUCCUUUCUGCAGCUCUGUGCCAUCAUGGGAAUUUGGGACAAACCGGGUCUUUGAGGGUGCUGAGAAAUAUUAUUUAGAGCACAAAAUCAGGGUUGGAGCAAUGGGAAUGAACUGCCCAUGUACCGUUUGUAUGUAAUGUAUAUGGAAAACACAACAGCUCUACAGGUGCUUGUGGGGCAGGGGGAUCUGUUGAGUAGCUCACUGAUACAUUGUCACUGAUGAUCUGAAGGAGGAGUAGCAUCUUCCUUCCUCUGGCCUGAGCAGGUACCCAACCUUUCCCAGGUUCCCAGGCUUCAUUUGCUGUGAUGUUUCAUAGUAAAAAAAUGCCACCUGCCAGGCAUAUGGGAGGUAACUGCCUGACCCAUCUUGGCUUUGUUUGGGGAUCUAGGCCUUUGGAGAAGCCAUGUGAGGUUGCAGAGGUGGCUCAUGCUAGAAGGUGAGCUUGAGCUCCCCCAGGACGGGGAAGGGAUGGAUUGGACAUGGUGGCUGCAGUCCACAAGGGCUGUACACAUUUGGGCUGCUGUGGAGAGACUACUAAACCCAAGGUCUGGGGUGCAGAGGUGUGAGGGAGUCUUUGAGCCAUCAGUGUGGGGAGAGGGUGCUGGGAGCACUCCUGGGUCCACUCAGGCAUUUGGGGAUGAAGACCAGCCCUAUGGGUACGUCACUUGGCAGAAGAGGCAAUGAUUUUCUGGAAAAACGUGUCCUGUUGGGCCUGGACUUGGAGGACUGGGGACACAGGGUGGGAGGUCAAGAGAGAAGUCAGGGAGGAGGCUGAGAGUGAGGUUGGGGUGAAGGGGCGCUGGGAGAUGUGGUGGAGAGUAGAGAUGCAGGGAAGACCCAGAAGCCAAAGGCUGAAUUGCAAUCAGAAGCAAAUCAGGAACCAGACAGGCCAAAGAGCUGUACUGGACAGGACCAGAGUACUGACAGAUGACACUGACUGUCACUAUGUUCCAGGCAUUGUGGUAAGCAUGAAGCUUUUUGCAGACGAUCUCAUUUCAGUCUCUGCAAGCCUGUGAGGUAGUUGUCACUAAUGCCCCCAGCUAUAGACAGUGUGCAGUGCCUGGGUACCCCAAAAAGGGCUGCUGCAAGUGGAAAAUGUCUUUGAAGUCUACUGUUUGGUCUUUAAAAAUUGUAGGGAUUUUUGCAUCCUACUGGAUAAUACAUAUGUGUUUGUUUUAAUUUAAAUGUCUUUAAACUUGCUGCCAUUUUCCUCCUAAAUCUUUGAAUAAGUGUGCCACAUUUCUCCUUCUGUUCAUACCUCUGGGUCACUGCUGAGCAACCUCUGGGGUACACUGGGAGGCUGAUGCCUCACAUUGCUGACUCAUCAUUUAAGGCCCUUCUCAAGUGGUUUCAAUCUACAUUUCCAAAGCUUUUGCCCCUACUUCCCUACCAUGCCCUACGAUGCUACUGUGGAGGUCUGUUGGUUGCUCUAGGACAAAGGAAGGCACAGUCCAGCUUCCCACCUUGGCUGUUGCUGUUUCCUAGCCCUUGGAAUGCAUAUCCCUCUAACCCAUGUCUCCCAGGCUGGUUUUCCAGGCUCCUCUGGAACACACUACCUGCUUCCAUCCUCACGAACCAGAAAGCACGUGCUUGUGGCAGUCACCAGUCAUGUGUCUUCUUUUGGUACAUGCCUGAUGUUCCAGAUGGUCUGUGAGGCAGGGUCCUUGUCUUGUCCUCUGCUGAUCCCGAGUCCACACAGCAUCUUGCAUGGAGCAGAUGACCCCCUGGAGCGUGUGUGGAUCCAGCCACCUCCUCUUCUAGGGCAGCUCAGCCUCCCAGAGCGCCAUCCUCAACAUGGCCAGAAGAUGGCACCAAGGCUUCUGUCAGCGCCACCUGGCAGCAAGAGGCUUCACAAGGGGGGCCAGAGAAGAUGGCCAUCAGGAAGCCUGACACAGAGACCUUCAUACAGUUUGACAACACCCAGGGAGCUUGAAGAGAUGGCCCGGUAGGAGAGCUGGGUGACUAUGGUUUCUGUCUGCACUGCAUGUUUGUCCCAUUUCCCAUCUUCUGGUUUCUUUGGGAGAUACCCAGUAGAUCAGAAGAGGAAUGACUCUGUGGGUACCCCCAAUGUGAGAAGAGGAGGCCCCCUGUGUACCAGCAGGGCAGGAAAGAACAGCUAACCAGGGCAGAGAGACCACAGCUGCCUUCACACCAUAUGCAUCUCAGUAGGGGCCAGAAGCUUAAAGAAUGGACACUUUUCUCCUCCUAGGCACUGUGUAUCUUGCUGACCAUUGGCAAGACCUUUGAUGUUUCCUCUUUGGUCCGCCAUUUGAUUUAGGACAUGGCAAUGUGGCUCCAUAGAGAUGUCAACACACAAAUCCACUGAAAGGCUCAUGAUGAUGGCACAGGACAUUGAAGGGGUCUCUAUAGCUUCUCAACAUAGUUCAGGCCUGGACAUAACAGGCCUGGUGCAGCCAGGCUCCCAGAAGGAUCCCAUGCAAAGAAGGUUUUAUCUGAACAUUAGUAGAAAAUGAAUGCCAGGUGCCUCAUUGCUGAAAGACCCAAGAUGUACCAACCAUCAGCCAUCCCUGCCCUCAUGCCUCUGAACAUUACAAUGGGGAACGUCUCAGACUCCACAGAGAGCCUCUGCACUCCUUGUUUGGAAGGCCAUCUUUCUUUGGGGAAAACUUGUAGAAAGGAGAUUUUUUUUUUCACACCAUCUGCUGGUGUGCGUGGAUAGAGGACUGUCUUUAUUUGGUGUCAUAUAUGUAUGGAUAUGUAAACACAGCUGACAUAUGAAUCAAGUCUGUGUAAGACUGCUGUGAAUGCCCAGGGGACAGGUACAUUUCCAGAAGGAGAAAAAGAAAAAUACAUGUCUAUUACUACAGUUUUAUGCAUCUAAUAUCACGGGCAAAUAUAGACACCUGGAGACUAUCAAACCAAAAUUAAAAACUCAUCGAAAGGAAAGGACAGUAUUUGCACAGAUUGCCCAUAAAUCUGCAACAACGGACUCUCUUUGGGCAUAACAUCAAAUGUUUGCUUUCUUUGUGGUGUCUCAUUAGGAAGGAAAUUUAUUGCCCAACUCCUGAACUAUGUCAAUUUGAAAAAAAAAUUUUGUGAAUAUUUGCAGGAACCACACGCUUGGUUUUAUAUUAGCUUUAUGCCACUGAACAGGAAAAAGCUUGGUCUUCCCAAUGAUGAAAUGACACUAAUCAUGAAAUUAAAGGAGCUAGCAUGUACUCAUUUGGAAGAGACAGCAGUUUCCCAUAAAUGGAUCAUAGCCCUGGCUCCCUUUGAUAAGUUAGGGUGACGUCACCCCCUCCAUCCGAGGCCAGCGCAAAAGCCACUUCCCCUGCCUCCCUGCCCUGGCAUCUUCUUCCCCUAUCUAAAAGAGGAGGCUUCAGAGGAACCAGAUUCUCAUAGUGGGGUAUGCUCCCCAGCUGUGCUUGAUUGCCUGCUGCAGUGAAAAUAGUUUGCAAAAGACUAGGAAGGAAGAGAAAAACGUUAAACAAAAAUCAAUGAAUUGCACAUGGUGCCCGUUAAAAAUAAUAACUAGGCAGGAGAUGAAGGGCUGAGCUUACACAUGUGAACUUGUCUCUGCGAGGGCCCUGGCAUCCAGACGGGGUGGGAAUGGCUUCUUCCUGUUCCUGUUGCCCCACUCAGACCACGGCCUGUGGCGAGCGCUUCACACAGCCACUGAAAGGGGAAGAGGAAAGGAGCAAGGAGACUUGAGGGUUGACCUAGCCCUGAUCCCCACCUUCUCUGUUGGACUCUUCAAACAGGAGGCUGCCUAGGGCAUGGAGUGGAAACUCCCGUCAACGCAAGAAGGAAUAUUUAAGUUGCUGCAAACAUGUUUGAAAACCAGGGGAACAUGGAAGGUGGGCUUCUGUAACACUGAAACCAAGUCUCUACCCACAGUUGGAAAUGAGAUUGGUUGAGUUUAUUUUAUGGCUCAAUGUAUGACUCGCCUUUCCAGUUUUAUUGUGUUAAAGACACUGCUAUGCAAGCUUCACUGCUAGUUCUUGGUAGCAGUUGUGAAUUUUUUCUCUGGAGAUUUUAAAAGAACAGAAUGGAGCUAGAAAAAGGAAAUAAUUAGUUCUAAAAUAAAAAAAUAAAGUGAGAUGUAAAGCUGCAAAUUCACUUCCUUUUUGGUUAAAAAAAAAUAGAGGUGGGGAGAGAGAGAGAGAGAGAGAGCGAGUGAGCGAGAGAGCCUAAUACUCAUUGAGGCUAGAAUGGAGACCACUCUCCUCAAAUGACCUAGAGAAUGGGAGAGGAAUAACUGAACACAGAACCUCAUUUUCCUUCCUGGCUCUCCGAUUUAUGAUUUGAGUCUUUAAUUAAGGUAUCCUUGGAUGGAUGCCCUUUUCCCCCCACAAAAAUCAUUUGCCUCUGUUAAUAUACCAUUAAUACUAUUUUCAUUUGUUCAACUAAUAUUUGAGUAUCUACUUGGCUAAAGACCCAGAGAGGCAUGAAAAAAGGAGUCACUCACAAAUAACUAGUAUUUGAAUAAAGAGCUGUAUGAUACCAUUUUACAACUAUAGUAUGAAACUAUACAUAUGUUGGUUUUUGUGUGUUUAUAUAUGUGUUUAUGAAUGUGCUUUCUGAUUUUUUAACAACAUAUAUUAGUUUUUUUAAUGCAGCAGAGCACCAAAAUGCUCAAAAUAUGACUGCCCAGAUAACCCUGAAGACUUUUGCAAGAAAUAAAAGUUACAUAUGAAAUGACUGGAAAGUACUGAAAGAUGUGCUUUUAAACACCUUAAAUAUACAUCCUGAAACCCAAAUUUAGAG
Pan troglodytes (chimpanzee) is the source of this 4842-nucleotide long non-coding RNA. RefSeq lists it as uncharacterized. Lineage: Eukaryota; Metazoa; Chordata; Mammalia; Primates; Hominidae. The record is from RefSeq and is a predicted model, not a curated record. The transcript is spliced from 3 exons.